Molecule: RNA transcript, 872 nt
Organism: Otolemur garnettii (small-eared galago)
Lineage: Eukaryota; Metazoa; Chordata; Mammalia; Primates; Galagidae
Gene name: 60S ribosomal protein L7a pseudogene
Exons: 1
Source: RefSeq, a predicted model, not a curated record
CUUCAGCAGCUCAAGAUGCCAAAAGGAAAGAAGGCCAAAGGGAAGAAGGUGGCCCUGGCCCCUGCCACGGUGAAGAAGCAGGAGGCCAAGAAGGUAGUGAAUCCUCUGUUCAAGAAAAGGCCAAAGAACUUCGGCAUUGGGCAGGACAUCCAGCCCAAGAGGGACCUCACCCGCUUUGUCAAAUGGCCCUGCUACAUCCGGUUGCAGCAGCAAAGAGCCAUCCUCUACAAGCGGCUGAAAGUACCUCCUGCCAUUAAUCAGUUCACCCAGGCAUUGGACCACCAAACAGCUACUCAGCUGCUCAAGCUGGCCCACAAGUACAGACCAGAAACAAAGCAAGAGAAGAAGCAGGGACUGUUGGCCCGGGCCGAGAAGAAAGCUGCGGGCAAAGGGGAUGCCCCCACUAAGAGACCACCUGUCCUUAGAGCAGGGGUUAACACUGUCAACACGUUGGUGGGGAACAAGAAGGCUCAGCUGGUGGUGACUGCACAUGAUGUGGACCCCAUUGAGCUGGCUGUUUUCCUGCCUGCCCUGUGUCGGAAGAUGGGGGUCCCUUACUGCAUUAUCAAGGGGAAGGCCAGGCUGGGGUGUCUCCUCCACAGGAAAACCUGCACCACUGUGGCCUUCACGCAGGUUAACUCAGAAGACAAAGGAGCUCUAGCUAAGCUGGUGGAAGCCAUCAGGACCAAUUACAAGGACAGAUACAAUGAGAUCUGCCAUCACUGAGGAGGCAACGUCCUGGGCCUGAAGUCUGUGGUUCACAUUGCCAAGCUGGAAAAGGCUAAGGCUAAAGAACUUGCAACUAAACUGGGCUAAACGUACACUGUAGUUUUCUGUACAUAAAAAUAAUAAAUAUUCAAGCCCCCCCAAAA